GGAGAGAUGGCUGAGUGGUUUAAGGCAGCGGUUUACUAAACCGCCGUUCUCGCAAGAGAACCGUGGGUUCGAAUCCCACUCUCUCCG
RNAcentral lists this transfer RNA (87 nucleotides) under Minisyncoccota bacterium. RNAcentral's name for it is "tRNA-Ser". It matches the Rfam family "tRNA". Rfam says of the family: Transfer RNA (tRNA) molecules are approximately 80 nucleotides in length. Their secondary structure includes four short double-helical elements and three loops (D, anti-codon, and T loops). Lineage: Bacteria; Bacillati; Minisyncoccota. The record is from RNAcentral.